UACGUAGGGGGCAAGCGUUGUCCGGAUUUAUUGGGCGUAAAGAGCGUGUAGGCGGCUUGGUAGGUCCGCUGUGAAAACUCGAGGCUCAACCUCGAGAUGUCGGCGGAAACCACUUGGCUAGAGUCCGGAAGAGGAGAGUGGAAUUCCCGGUGUAGCGGUGAAAUGCGCAGAUAUCGGGAAGAACACCUAUGGCGAAGGCAGCUCUCUGGGCCGGAACUGACGCUGAGGAGCGAAAGCGUGGGGAGCGAACAGG
RNAcentral lists this ribosomal RNA (253 nucleotides) under uncultured bacterium. RNAcentral describes it as "partial 16S ribosomal RNA". It matches the Rfam family "Bacterial small subunit ribosomal RNA", at positions 524 to 776 of the family's 1533-position model. The record is from RNAcentral.